RNAcentral lists this long non-coding RNA (365 nucleotides) under Pan troglodytes (chimpanzee). RNAcentral describes it as "long non-coding RNA NONPTRT004744". The record is from RNAcentral. Lineage: Eukaryota; Metazoa; Chordata; Mammalia; Primates; Hominidae.
CUCGUACCUGUUAGCCACCUGGUGUGUACGAGUGCGCACGGGCGACUGUAGCGUGCGUGUGAAAUGGGGGGAGGAUCAUGCCAGUUGGUAACUCAGAGUGCAGUGUAGUUAGUGGAAGAGGUUUCUCCAACAGCCGGAAACCCGCACCUUCGCUACUCCACUGACCUCACCCUGGCCACACCGACAGCCUUCUAGAUGUCAAAUCUAACAGAGCACAACGUUACAGCGAGACAGGGCGUGAUGGAUCCCCAGCAGCCCAGAGAUACUCAGUGAAGUCACAUACCCGGAGGUGGGGCCAGGUUUGGAAACCAGGUUUUCAAAUGACUAUCUUAGUGCUUUUGCACCCAUCAGCUCUAUCUUAGGAU